AUAUGUAUCUGGCAGAGGAGAUACCAUGAUCGUGAAAGUGGUUUUCCCAGGGUGAGGCUUAUCCAUUUUAUUACAGAUCUGCUGAACCCUGUGACUUCCCCAAUUGUGGGAAACUUGACUCCAUAAUUUGUGGUAGUGGUGGCCUGCAUUCAUAAUCUCCUCUC
Molecule: small nuclear RNA, 164 nt
Organism: Aotus nancymaae (Ma's night monkey)
Lineage: Eukaryota; Metazoa; Chordata; Mammalia; Primates; Aotidae
Gene: U1
Rfam family: U1 spliceosomal RNA
About the family: U1 is a small nuclear RNA (snRNA) component of the spliceosome (involved in pre-mRNA splicing).
Source: Ensembl